GACGAACGCUGGCGGCGUGCUUAACACAUGCAAGUCGAACGGGCCUUGUCCCCUUUUUUCUUGGGGGAGGGGCUAGUGGCGAACGGGUGAGUAACACGCGAGUAACCUGUCCCUCAUUUCUGGAUAACCGCUUGAAAGGGUGGGCAAUACGGGGUGUUCUGGCCUGCUCGCAUGGGCGGGCUUGGCACGAUUCGAUCGGCUUUGGUUGGUUUGGCGGGGGAUGGGCUCGAGGCCUUACAGCUUGUUGGAGGGGUGACGGCCUGCCGAGGCUUUGACGGAAAGCGGGCCUGAGGAUGUGGACUGUCACUCUGAGACUGAGACGCGGCCCAUACUCCUACGGGGGGCAGCAGUGGAGAAUAGUGCACAAUGGGCGCAAGCCUGAUGCAGCGGCGCCGCGUGAGGAAUGGAGGCCUUCGGGUUGUGAACCUCUUUCGCCAGUGAAGAAGGUCCUGCUCUUUGUGGUGGGGUUGACGGGAGCUGGGUUAAUGAAGCGCCGGCUAACUACGUG
RNAcentral lists this ribosomal RNA (508 nucleotides) under uncultured bacterium. RNAcentral's name for it is "partial 16S ribosomal RNA". It matches the Rfam family "Bacterial small subunit ribosomal RNA", at positions 28 to 507 of the family's 1533-position model. The record is from RNAcentral.